Molecule: long non-coding RNA, 464 nt
Organism: Mauremys reevesii (Reeves's turtle)
Lineage: Eukaryota; Metazoa; Chordata; Testudines; Geoemydidae
Exons: 3
Source: RefSeq, a predicted model, not a curated record
GAAGCUGCUGCAGCUCUAAAGUGGCCAUAUUGUAAGAGAUAUGUGUUUGCUAUAUCUUCCCAGCAAGAUGGGUUGCUGCAGAAGACAGGAUUCUGGUUAUUAGUAGAACUCACAAGAAGCAGCAUAUGGCCCUUUCUUGUCAGCAGCAGCUCUUGUUUGAAAGAGGCUGAAGACCAAUCCUACCAGCCGCUGCUCUUUGGAAGGAAGGUGCUUUCCCAGCCACCACCAUUGGGAGAAAGCUCCUGACCUGAGGUGGGAUCCAGAGGAGUGGAUAAAAUUCUGUGAACUCAGAAGUGGCUGAUGACCUUCCUGUUGCAGAGUGAACUCUUGAUGCAUUUGUUCAUUGAAGCUGCCAGCAAAGCUUCCAGGAGACUGUAUGUGCUCUGUCUGCAUGUUCUUCAGGUACUGCUUUUUUAAACACUUGUGUAUGCUGGUUAUUGUAUCACCCUGUACAGCUCAAAGAA